GUGUGUGUGUGUGUGUGUGUGUGUGUGUGUGUGUGUGUGUGUGUGUGUGUGUGUGUGUGUGUGUGUGUGUGUGUGUGUGUGUGUGUGUUCACCAUGGGGCCGGGACCAAUAUCAGCGCCUUUGUUGUGAUCAUACUGAGCAGCAAAGUUCUGUUGGAGUGAAAAAUAAAAACCAGAAUAAGAGACAAAAUAUACAUAUAAAAAUUCAUACAAUACAAUAUACUUAUUUUCUAAAUCAUAGGUUAUUGUCUGUUCCAUUGCUAUAAUUGUGCCAGAAUUUGGGUCAGGUGAGUUUAAGGGCUUGAUCGUUUAUCAAACAGAUGAACAGCAAAUCAGCAUCUUCCUGUAGCUUCUAUACCUUACGGUUACAAUAGGAUAUACCAGCCGGUUAACCUUAUUUACUGAGAGGCCUUCAUCAACAUUCAGUUCCCCCACCUAGGAACACUUUAGAACCAACAUCCAUCUUCAGUUCCCCCACCCAGCAGCACUUUAGAACCAACAUCCACCUUCAGUCCCCCACACAGUCACAUUUUAGAACCAACAUCCACCUUCAGUCCCCCCACCCAGCAGUUGACCAAGUCGGCCCCUAUAGGAUACUUACUCUGCCGAGGCCAGGGGGUCCUGGGGGCCCAGCAGGGCCGGGGUUGCCAGGUCUGCCGUCCCUCCCGUCAGGGCCCUGGGGUCCCUGUGGAGGAAGGCCUUGGGUUAGUCUCCGUUGAUUACCACUGAUUGACACACAGCCACCGUGUCUGCUGGGACGCUGCCAGAGUCCCAGCUCUGUUCGGCUGUGGAGCUCGGUUUGGUCUCAACUUGAAUAAAAGCGUCAUGUCCUUUUACUAAAUUGUUUUAUUAUUGUUAAUAAAGUUUAGAAAAGAUAAAUAUGAAUUUGUUCUGGAUAUGUGAGCCAAAGUCAGAAAAAAAUAAUAUACAACAAAUAUUUGUAGUUCAGGUUAUUUUCAGCCGUCGUGCAGCAGAGAUUGGUCCAUUAUUAUUUGUUAUAUUAUCACGGCGGAGGGCUUUAGGCUGUGCCUGAUGUAAACAAAGGGGUGUGGCCUAUUCAAGUUGAAAGGUCAAUCGGCGUCAUCAUAUAUCAACCCGAUAAACUUCAUGAAAGUUUCUAUCCAGCAAACAUGGCAUUGUCAUGCAUCUUGUCAUAAUUAAUGAGUUUGAUAGUGGCUUACCCUUUCACCUCUUGGUCCUUUCGGGCCCUGAGGAAUAUAAGUAAACAAUUGAUGAGUCAGAGGCAGACAUUAUUUAAACAGUGAGGCAAGUUCACGUAAAAAAAGGAAGGUAGACUUAAACUUAACAUAUCUAAAAUCUAAAACCUAAAAGAAGCUCGGCUACAAUCGCUGGGGGAUGAAUAGGUGCAUGUGGACAAACUGUGCAUGUGAACUGCACAGCCAAAGCACCAUUCAGGUGGGAACAUAUUUCAGUCCUCUUCAUUGAACCUGGCCUUUGGCUAGAGCUGAUGCCUACAAUGUCUGCCCUGAGCUAUGCUACGCAUUAUCACAUACACCACACUCAAAGGGCUAAAUGACACAUCCAACCAGGGUUUGAUUGCUCACUUUGAAUCUUCCCUGAGUAGAAAUAGAAGCUAAAUAAAUAGUGUUAUUUAUUUCUUUGUGUCAUUUAACUGUGCUGGCUGUAUCAUGCACUGUUCAGCAUUGCUGUUCAUCUAUCUCAUUGCACAUCAACCCAUUAACAUGCAGGGGAUUUAUGAUGCUGUACAUGUCCAUGCAGAAGCACAGCCUCAUAAAGCUGCUCCCAGAUCACUGUGCACACUGUAGUAUUAAACUGAUCCGAAACCACAAUCAGGGGCGUAUCAAGCUUUCCAAAAGUGGGGGUGUUCUGGAAUAGGCGAAGAAAUAAUCAUUCCAAAUAGCGAUGAUCAAUUAUAUGAACUUUUACAUACAUCUAGGCCUACAAAAUGGAAGAAAUGCGAGCAGAUACACUGUGUGUGUGUGUGUGUGUGUGUGUGUGUAUGACUCAUUGUGUGUUUGUUUGAUACACGCACACACACACACACACACACACACACACACACACACACACACACACACACACACACACACACACACACACACACACACACACACACACACACACACACACACACACACACACACACUGUGUGAUAAAGCUGAAAGGAGCUUCAGCAGCCUCUGAAGGCUGAAAACAUGGAUGCGAAGUACAAUGACACAAACAUGUCUCAACAGUGUAACCGUGUGUUAUGUUCAAAAGCACAAGCUGGAUCUGUUGGACAGGAAAAUGAUUGCAGAACAAUUAGUUUGUCAUAAUGAGCAGAGACAAAACACAUUUGUAAAGCCACUUGAGGCUGUUGCAUGAAUGUUCAAUAACUGUAGCUCUAAUGACAUUUGGCUAGAGCGUUUGUUACUUGUAUGUAGUGAUGUUAUUAUGUAGUGACACACAGAGUGCAGGCUGUCAAACCAGUGGUCAAGUUCAACUUCAAAUGUUCUCCAUUUCAUGCUGAGACCUAUCUAUGAUCUAUGUAUAAUGUUGGGCUUAUGUGUUUAUGGUGUGGUAUUACUGAUUAUACAGUAGCCUAACUGAAAAUAAAACGUGUCUGAUCGAAUGGAACGCACUUGCAUGCUUCUAAUGUUCUAAGAAAACAAGAUGAACCCUUGACACACACUGUUGAGGACAUUUCACGUUCAAGUGUGCUGAGAAAGCGAAUCGCACAAUUCUCCGGAUUUUCGUGUAUCACAGCAUUCAUUCACAUUCAUUAAACCAGUAGGCCUAAGUUGAUUGCUGUGACACAUACUUUGUGUAUAUUUUCAGUGAUACACCUUGUAGAUUGAAGUGCGUUUUCUCAAGGUUUGAAAAUGACGAAUCGCACGAGGAUCUCUACUCUCCGUAAAGGCUACCUGUAGCCCUAGUCAAACCUGUGCAUCCCAACCGCGGUAGCACUCGAAACAGAUAGCCUAUAGCUUGCAACUUGCAAGCACGUCAGUGUCUGCAGAGGGAGAGAAGUCAACUUACUUGUUUUCUCUUGAAAAAGCCGUCUAUAGUCCCCUGUCUUUUUCUUUUAGUUUUCGGCAUCAUUGGCUAUAUUGCACGAAAAAAUAAAACAGUUUUAAAACUAAAGUAGGCUUAGUUCCCGUCGGAAGAAUGAAUGGGAUCUUAUGCUAGGAGGUAACUAGCUCUUGAAUAGAGAGCCAUGAACCUUGCAUCUAUUAAUGACAAAUAAUUAAUCGCUUAAUCGCUUUAAUCGCUUAAUAUGCCUGAAAAUGUUGCCUUCAUUACAGGCAGUGAAUGAUGCUGAUCUAAAACAGUGAUUCAAUUCUACCUUUUCAUUGAAGGCGUCAAGUCAGUAUGCAGCACGAACAGUUAGGCACAGCAAUCUGUGAGAAACUGCUUGAAUGACCGCGGUCACCGCGCUGAGUUCUCAGGCAGUCGGGUCUCGGGAGCACCGCUGCCAGCGCUUUCUGCAGGCUGCGCGAGCUGUUUAGUCUACGUAACGUCAAUUGUAGCGCUGGGAUUUACAGAGUGAUCAUUUGAUACAGAGGGAUGCAAUCAUAGCAACCAUUUUAAAUUGCAUACAACAGGCGAACGUUUACUGUUUUUUAUUAGAAAAGCUGAUUUUUGUGAGGAUUUGACGAACAAAAGUGGAGGGGAUGGAAUGGCCUUCCAAUAGAAGUGAGGGGGAUGCAUCGUACUCAUCCCCCGCGUCUGAUACGCGCCUGACCACAAUUAUAGCCUAUUAAAUAAUGACGCUAAGCUGCCAAGCUUUGUAUUCUGUAACUUACCUGAUAUGAAGUGAUCGCUGCACAAGCGGAAUCCAACAGCCGGGGGGUCCCAUUUUUCAGUCUUUUUUUGCUUGCUCCUGGCUCUUUUAAUGGCGCUGAUCCACUUAGCUCGCCUCUCCGCAUCUUUAGGAAUGCGGUAGAACGACGUACAUUUAUUUUUGCCUCGUUUAUUUGUGCAACCUGGUGCACAACAGUUAUCGACCAUGUCUGCUCCACCACAAGAGCGCCAGUCUGCCGAAUACUGCCAAAAUGGUGGUGCCCACGUUUUCCCCGCCCCAACAACGUCAACACCCGGAACUCUAUUGCAGCCAAUGAGCUCGAGUUGACCCUGCUUAGCCUCCGAGAUCAGACGAGAUCGCGCGUGCUCAGGGUGGUAUGGCCGUAAGCAAUUAUUGUCUUGUCCAUACUAACUUUUAUACAGGAGGAACCCAUAAUGAGUGGGAGCGCUGCUGUGGCCAGAGACGGGACUUGUACAGAAACAAUAAUUUGAUCCAUAAUGAAUGAAAGAAAUGAAUGAAUGAAUGAAUGACUACGUUAUUCCAGACUCAGAGUUCCACAUCUGAAUGUAAUGCAUUACACUGCUUGGGCGUGAUCGUUUGCGUGAUCUUUUGAAUAAACGUAGCGUUGCAAAACGUGGGAUGGACGGCAUUAGUCAGCGCGAUGAAGCCAUUCAUAGCUAUUAUUUCUUUAGAACAACAUGAUCAGGGGAGAGCGCGAACGCAGUCCCCCACUACCAGAAAUUAUGCAAUCGAGAUUCCCACAUUUGGGGAAUUCGCACGGGUCAGCAACAGCCUCAGUGCAAUGGCUGAGCCUCGCUAUGGGUGAACCACCUUCUUGAUCGUGGUAUCUCCCUUGCCAGGUAAGUAUGAGUUGUACACGUUCAGGUGGGCUGAACGAUGCCCACGCUUGUUCCCGUGGAGAACGGUUGCAAAGCAUUCGGAGAUGUCUAGACUUUAAUAAACACUGUAGACCACCGGUCACACGAUGACAGGCGAAUCUGAAAUCAGCGUGAUGGAAGCAUAACGAAAGGAAACCUGGAGAUCCGAGUUAUCGACCCGCCACAGAAAGAAUCCUUUUUUCUUUCUUAAACAACAGAAUAUCGUUGGAAUAAUUGUAAACAGUGCGUUUAUGAAUUGUAAAUGACACUUUAUUGUCUACAGGCGGACGGGUGUACUCUCAGGUAGUGAUGUUAUGGUUUGCGUCGAGGCAUCGGGGCGUGUGUCGAGUACCUCGGCUCCUCCCCCAGCGAAGCUCCGUAUCACAUAGGCGAAAUGACGUGGCGCGUGACGUUCGAGGCUUCAUCUCGGGCUGUUGCGCGAUAUGGGUUCACAAUUGGCACAUUUUUACAAAAAGAAGACCCUACCCAGUUCCAAGAUCACUUUUAUGGCUAUGUAAUUAAUCACACUCAUUCUCAGUCAUCAUGCAGUUCUAUUAUUACAAUUAUUAGUAGGCUACUGAGACAAUCUAUUUUGCCCGGGAUGACUUAAAAUCUAGGUCAAAUGAUUUGUUCUCUACCAUGAGCUCGGGAGAUAUUUAUGAACGGCAAACUCACACGUAUCACUGAAAUGACUUUAAUUCUUAAACGUUGUGAUGUUGUAGGCUACGAAGCAAACAUCACAUCAUCACAGGAAACUCUUUCUUUCAUCAUAAUUUAAUUCACCACUAGGUGUCCCUAGCGUACUAAUUUGAAGCUUCGAGGUCGAACCACUUUGAUGGUUCAUCUGGCUGCGAGGCUUUGACGUUUCAUGAGGCAUCAUCUCGGCACCACUACUCUCUGGACUCAGGAGGAGUUUAGUUUUGUUUUUCACAGUGAGAGAGGGGUGCACCGGUCCUGGAGGUACUGCAAUACCAGGUCGAUGCGUGGAGUGGACGGAGCAAGCCCCUUUUCCAUCUCCCAGUUCCAAAAAUCAAUUUAAUAUAUGGUCCCCGGGUAGGGGACGUAUCAGAUAUUAAACUGAUAAGAACAGAUACUACACUUGAUCUUAGCCAAAAGGCCGAGAAGCGAUGCCUCCACAGGCUCAGACCAAGAGGCCAGCUUCCCAGACACGUCGCUCCACUUGGCGGUUUAACAGACAACGACAAAACAAAAAAAAGACCAAGCACCCUGUGUGCGUGUUUGUGUGUAUGUGAAAGCUGAAGAAAUAAACCGAGGUCGCUACAUCUCUUUGCUGCUGCCUGCUGGCAGUCUCACUAGGCCGUCUGCAUGUUUCACAAAUAGAGUGUGGAGCAGUGGAGGCUUCUAUAAGACUACAGGUGAAGCAGUGCUUCACCAAAAAAAUGUUAAAAAAUAAAUAAACCAAAAAUCUUACAACAAUCCCAUUUUCAGUGCUUUGAAACAGAAAUACUCACGAAGACGAGCUGUUUUCCUGAAAUCAAUUAUGUGAGUCACAACAGCGCCACUAUUCCCAUUGACUUCAAUGUAAAUCGAGUGAACCCCAGGCGGCUCGUGUUUAUUUUCCGUUUCAAUUGAUCCUUAUGGCAGAUAAGUCCCACCCGUGAACCAGUGACCGAUAGGGUAGAAUUUUGCACUUCAGUCACUUGACACAACACUCUGGCCAGUCACCGCCUUCAUUGGACAGCUAUCGUGAACUGACUACGAGUGAAAGCAGAGGGCAGACCAAAACCUACUGUGAAAACCACACAGCUCGUUGGUGCUACGGUAAGGAGCAUUUUAAAUUGCUCCAUGUAUGACAAGGUAAACUGGCUAACAGGGAGUUGGCUGAAAAAACGCCUUUACUGUUGGCCCCGUGUCAUGUUUAAAGCAUGCAAUUGUGGUGUAGAACAAAAUAAAAAGAAAACAAAGUGCUUGCAUGAUAUCGAGUUCCUGAACCCACGUGACCACCGGUGUUCGGAACGCCAUUUUGUCAGUAAAAUCAAGCGCCGCCCUUAAAGAGCUUCCUUAAAAUGACCCGGCGCCGAAGCUUUCAAGCCAUCGGAGUACUCAUCUCACUUUAAUUCGCAUGACAUCGAGCUCUAUAGGCAAAAAUUAAAUAGGUUAAAUAUUACCGACCCAUACAAUGGCCCCGGGGUGCUUUUCAAAAGCAUCUCCGCUGAAGAAGACGUCCCAGAUCUGCAGUAUCCGGAUAGAUAUAACUACCUUCAGAGCAGCCACAAAGACAGACGUCAGAAAGCCUGCAGUGUCUCUAAUAAGACAAAUAUGCUACCCAAAAGUCCCAUAGUUUCACCAGUGAGGCUACCAGUUGGGGAUGUCAACACGAGGACUUGGCAAGGAAAUACUAUGAAAUGCGUCAUCGCCUCUCACACACGAAUGUCAUGGUAGGAACAGCUGGAUUCAGGAUUUCACCCCUGCAUUGGGGCCUCACCUGAUGGAUACGUUUCCUGUAGCUGCUGUGGUUCAGGUGUCAUAGAAAUUAAGUGCCCAUUUUCUGCAAAGGACCUUUCUGUUAAUUAGGCAGUAAAGUGUUUUUCUGCACAGAAACCAGCACCAGCAGCAGCAGCAUUUGCUGAUCAUAGUCAACAACAGUGGUGCUACUGCCCUGAGCCAGAAGCAGGGAACAUGGUGGUCUGUGCGUCAGGUUUUUGUUCAGUUAAAAAGUUUCACCAGACCUGCCUUCGCAUGAAAAGGGUCCCAAAACAGUGGGUAUGUCCCAUCUGCCGAAAAGUGAUCAAUGCCCAAAGAAGAAAACCUUAGUGAGGAGACUGUGAAAUGAGUUGUUUGUAGUAGCUGAUACUGUACUGUUAUUUAUGAAUAAACAGUUGUUAAACCAAUAUUGUUCUCUUCCCCAUAAUUUGUAUUAGAUAUCUGUAGCAAUCAGGGAUAUGAAACAUGGGUGGGUCAUUCAUAUAAAACACACCAGAACAAAUAUCUGUUUGGGUGGAACUCAAGUUAGAAUGGGUGGAUGUGCAGCUUGAUCUGCAAAGAGAAACGAUGUGAUCGCAUCAGAAUAGCGAGUGAUUAAAAAUAAUGUCACGACAAGCAAGCAAGAAGUGUGAGUCACAAAGGUUUAUUUGCUGGUUGAGCACAUCUGUAGCCAGUCACAUCAGUUCAAUUUACUGUAAAUCCCCAUCACUGGAAGGACACCACAGAUUCAGACACAUUUGUAAGUGCACAACACACGCUCACCAUCUUGUCAAGGUAGGCCACAUCAUUUUCCCUGUCUAUGUCCGUGAAACAUAUGGGGACAGUGCUUUGCAAGACUGUGUACUUUUGACGGAGAACUCCUAUCACUCUUUCAAUAUGUAUCCUAAGAGAGGCUAGACGUCUGGUGUUCUCCAAGUCAGCAGGAUCUAACUGCUUCUAUCCACGAGUAAAUGCUGGAAUUUUUAAUUCAGCUUGGCAUCUCUCAAUGGACUCUUUAACCAGACAACCUCUGUCCGCUAAAACUACGUCCCCUGGGAGCAAAUGAGAUAAAAAGUGACUUUGUUCUGUGAUAAACGUAUCACUUGUGCGACCUCCCCAUCCAGCGGAAAUGAAACAAAUGGAACCUCGAGGGCAAAUUGCAAUUAAAUAUUUCAUUGUGUGGUGUGAUUUGUAUGAUGAGUAACACUGAGCACUGGCUAGCAAUCUACUGGGUUUCUCUAGAAAUAUUUCAAAACAAUCUAUAAUGCAAACUGUCUUUUCAAAGCUACGGUUUCGAAAUGCAUAUGGAAGAGAUUUUCUUAAGUAUUCUCUGUCAGGCCACAACACCAGACUUGGCACCAGUCUACAAUGCAUCACACUAAUGCAGUGUUUGAAGAGCUUUGAAACAGUGGUUGAGUCAAUGUCAAAAUAAAAAGCCAAAAACUCAAAGGACAAGUUCAUUCUAAGCUUAAUUAAAGUUAACAUGUACUGCUGAAAACAUGUUAAACUAGAUUUAAGUUGGAGAAAAGGAGCCACAAUAUGAAAAAUUGUCAUGAGAAUGGAGAAUGCUGAUAAACCAGUGAGAGUAUGAACCCUUUUAUCAUCGUUAUGCAAGCUCAUCUCAUUCAGUGUAGUCCUAUUCAUUUUUUCCUUCAACAACAUAUUUUCAGUCCUCAGAGCUUGGCAUUCUUGCUCAAGAGAUUGGACGCGUUUACCACAGGUUUCAGUGGUGCAUGGUGGGGUUGCUGGAUCCUCCUCAUGGAGAACAGGCUGGACAUCGUUUCCAGGUUCUUCAUGGGUAGAUUCCUUCAAAGGCUCUGUGGUGGGACUUUGCUCUGCAGUAGGAUCCUUGUUGCAGUCUUGGGGACAAUCUGUUGAUGCUCUGGUGAAAACAAAAGUAGUAUAAACUGUCACUACUGAUGACAGUUUGUCAUUCUUUUGUCAGUCACUCUCUGUUUUCUGCAGUAUACUAGCUUUCGUUAGUAAGAAAGUAAGUAAAUUGUAUUUGUAUAGCACAUUUACAUCCAAAAGUGCUUUAUAGUCGGUAUAUGAUAAAUAAACAAUGUAAUAAAAUAAAUGAAUAGAAAGACAAUGACAGGGAUAUUGACAAUGACAGUGACAAUCACAUGCAUAGUCAGUGGCUGCCAAAUGCAAGUCGGUAUAGGUGUGUGAUGAUUUCAGCCCAGUCACAGAUGUUAUGUUUUUUAGCUCAUUGGGUGUUAUUAAACCUACAAUGAAUUGUACAAAAAAAAAUUGGUUUAUAAUUUUCCCAAGUCCAUGGAAGUGGGGUUGAC
Molecule: long non-coding RNA, 9361 nt
Organism: Gadus chalcogrammus (walleye pollock)
Lineage: Eukaryota; Metazoa; Chordata; Actinopteri; Gadiformes; Gadidae
Exons: 2
Source: RefSeq, a predicted model, not a curated record